This 364-nucleotide ribosomal RNA is filed under the name uncultured bacterium. RNAcentral's name for it is "bacterial SSU rRNA". It matches the Rfam family "Bacterial small subunit ribosomal RNA", at positions 29 to 408 of the family's 1533-position model. The record is from RNAcentral.
AAUGAACGUUGGCGGCGUGGAUUAGGCAUGCAAGUCGCGCGACAAGGAACCUUCGGGUUCUGGAGGAGCGGCAAACGGGGUAGUAAGGCAUCGGAACGUACCCUCUUGUUGGGAAUAGCCGCGGGAAACUGCGAGUAAUGCCCAAUAAUCCCUACGGGGCAAAGGUCCGCCGCAGGAGGAGCGGCCGAUGUGAUACCAGCUAGUUGGUGAGGUAAUGGCUCACCAAGGCUUAGACGUCUAGGGGGUGUGAGAGCAUGGCCCCCACCACUGGGACUGAGAUACUGCCCAGACACCUACGGGUGGCUGCAGUCGAGAAUCUUCGGCAAUGGGCGCAAGCCUGACCGAGCAACGCCGCCGUGCGGGA